Molecule: non-coding RNA, 87 nt
Filed under: uncultured Halopseudomonas sp.
Lineage: Bacteria; Pseudomonadati; Pseudomonadota; Gammaproteobacteria; Pseudomonadales; Pseudomonadaceae
Description: Glycine riboswitch
Rfam family: Glycine riboswitch aptamer (bases 4-81)
About the family: This family represents the bacterial glycine riboswitch. Glycine riboswitches usually consist of two metabolite-binding aptamers domains with similar structures in tandem. The aptamers cooperatively bind glycine to regulate the expression of downstream genes.
Source: RNAcentral
CGUCUGGAGAGAGGCUGCACCGCAGCCCACCGAAGGGGCAAGCAGGGUAUGACCCUGUAAACUCUCAGGUAGCAAGGACAGGGGGAG